RNAcentral lists this long non-coding RNA (221 nucleotides) under Ursus maritimus (polar bear). Its description in RNAcentral is "lncRNA (ENSUMAG00000012006.1)". The record is from RNAcentral. Lineage: Eukaryota; Metazoa; Chordata; Mammalia; Carnivora; Ursidae.
CAGUCAUGCUUGAAGUGAUUCUCUGAUUCUCUGGUCAUCUCCGUCACCACUCUGACCACGCCUCCGGUCCCUGCUGCGUUCACGUGACGAAGAUAUUCCUAGAACCCUCUCCACUGAAGCGGAUUCUUUCAUGAUCGUCACUUUUCAGUCUCCAUCCCCAACAUUAAGAAAUGGGAUGGUGAAAUGGAGGAGCAAGUGAUUGGAUGGGAUUUUGAAUCCAA